GCCUGGGUGGCUUGGUCGGUUAAGUGUCCGACUUCGGCUCAGGUCAUGAUCUCACGGUCCGUGGGUUCGAGCCCCACGUCGGGCU
Felis catus (domestic cat) is the source of this 85-nucleotide non-coding RNA. The record is from Rfam. NCBI's taxonomy places the organism in Eukaryota, Metazoa, Chordata, Mammalia, Carnivora, Felidae.